RNAcentral lists this ribosomal RNA (816 nucleotides) under uncultured bacterium. Its description in RNAcentral is "bacterial SSU rRNA". It matches the Rfam family "Bacterial small subunit ribosomal RNA", at positions 89 to 895 of the family's 1533-position model. The record is from RNAcentral.
AGAUGAGUGGCGAACGGGUGAGUAAUACAUAGGUAACCUGCCCCUGUGCGGGGGAUAACAGGAGGAAACUCCUGCUAAUACCGCAUAGCCAUGAGCACCGCAUGGAGCUCAUGCCAAAUAUCCUUCACGGGAUAGCGCAGGGAUGGACCUAUGGCGCAUUAGCUAGUUGGCGGGGCAACGGCCCACCAAGGCAACGAUGCGUAGCCGGCCUGAGAGGGCGGACGGCCACAUUGGGACUGAGACACGGCCCAGACUCCUACGGGAGGCAGCAGUAGGGAAUUUUCGGCAAUGGGGGAAACCCUGACCGAGCAACGCCGCGUGAGCGAAGAAGGCCUUCGGGUCGUAAAGCUCUGUUGUAAAGGAAGAACGUCGCAUGCAGGAAAUGGUGUGCGAGUGACGGUACUUUACCAGAAAGCCACGGCUAACUACGUGCCAGCAGCCGCGGUAAUACGUAGGUGGCGAGCGUUAUCCGGAAUCAUUGGGCGUAAAGAGGGAGCAGGCGGCCGCAAGGGUCUGUGGUGAAAGACCGAAGCUAAACUUCGGUAAGCCAUGGAAACCGGGCGGCUAGAGUGCGGAAGAGGAUCGUGGAAUUCCAUGUGUAGCGGUGAAAUGCGUAGAUAUAUGGAGGAACACCAGUGGCGAAGGCGACGGUCUGGGCCGCAACUGACGCUCAUUCCCGAAAGCGUGGGGAGCAAAUAGGAUUAGAUACCCUAGUAGUCCACGCCGUAAACGAUGGUCACUAAGUGUCGGGGGUCAAACCCCGGUGCUGCAGUCAACGCAAUAAGUGACCCGCCUGAGUAGUACGUUCGCAAGAAU